RNAcentral lists this ribosomal RNA (460 nucleotides) under uncultured bacterium. RNAcentral describes it as "bacterial SSU rRNA". It matches the Rfam family "Bacterial small subunit ribosomal RNA", at positions 338 to 795 of the family's 1533-position model. The record is from RNAcentral.
CCUANGGGAGGCAGCAGUAAGGAAUAUUGGUCAAUGGGCGCAAGCCUGAACCAGCCAUGCCGCGUGCAGGAUGACGGCCCUAUGGGUUGUAAACUGCUUUUGUACGGGAAAAAACCCUCCGACGUGUCGGGGGCUGAUGGUACCGUAAGAAUAAGGAUCGGCUAACUCCGUGCCAGCAGCCGCGGUAAUACGGAGGAUCCUAGCGUUAUCCGGAUUUAUUGGGUUUAAAGGGUGCGCAGGCGGAAUAAUAAGUCAGUGGUGAAAUCCUACAGCUUAACUGUAGAACUGCCAUUGAUACUGUUAUUCUUGAGUAUAUUUGAAGUGGGCGGAAUGUGUCAUGUAGCGGUGAAAUGCUUAGAUAUGACACAGAACACCAAUUGCGAAGGCAGCUCACUAAGCUAUAACUGACGCUCAUGCACGAAAGCGUGGGGAUCAAACAGGAUUAGAUACCCCANUANUC